GACACGAUGGCGGAGUGGUUAACGCGCUGCCCUCGAAAAACCCGGAAAGGCAGUUCCCUAUGGGAGCGCAGGUUCAAAUCCUGCUCGUGUCG
Molecule: non-coding RNA, 92 nt
Organism: Powellomyces hirtus
Lineage: Eukaryota; Fungi; Chytridiomycota; Chytridiomycetes; Spizellomycetales; Powellomycetaceae
Source: the annotation of a GenBank genome assembly